AGCCCUUAUGUCAUCUAUUGCCAAUCUUACACAUGCAAGUAUCUGCACACCCGUGAAAACGCCCUCAACCCCUUAACCAAGGAAGAGGAGUUGGUAUCAGGCACAACCAAUAAGCCCACGACACCUAGCCACGCCACACCCACAAGGGUAUUCAGCAGUGAUAAACAUUGUUUAUAAGCGUCAGCUUGAAUCAGUUAAGGCAAAGAGGGCCGGCAAAUCCGGUGCCAGCCGCCGCGGCUACACCGUUAGGCCCAAGUUGACACACACCGGCGUUAAGCGUGAUUAGAGUGAUUACACAGAUUAGAGUUAAACCCAAAUUUAGUCGUGAUACACUUGUCCCCGGGAAACCCAAAAACGAAAGUUACUCUAACCAACCCACUUGACCCCACGACAGCUAAGACACAAACUGGGAUUAGGUACCCCACUAUGCCUAGCCGUAAAACAUAUACUCACCCCAACAAAUCGCCAGGGAAUUACGAGCCCAAGCUUAAAACCCAAAGGACUUGACGGUGUCCCACCCACCUAGAGGAGCCUGUUCUAUAAUCGAUUCCCCCCGAUAAACCUCACCACUUCUAGCCAACUCAGCCUGUAUACCUCCGUCGUAAGCUUACCAUGUGAACGAAACCAGUGAGCCCAAAGAUCCCACAUCAAUACGUCAGGUCAAGGUGCAGCUAACGAACUGGAAAGAAAUGGGCUACAAUUUCUACAAUAGAACAAACGAAAGACUACAUGAAACAUAGUCACUGAAGGCGGAUUUAGCAGUAAAAAGGAAAUAGAGAGUUCUUUUUAACAAGGCGCUGGGACGCGUACACACCGCCCGUCACCCUCUUCAAAUG
Molecule: non-coding RNA, 836 nt
Filed under: Chiasmocleis crucis
Lineage: Eukaryota; Metazoa; Chordata; Amphibia; Anura; Microhylidae
Description: partial small subunit ribosomal RNA
Rfam family: Bacterial small subunit ribosomal RNA
Source: RNAcentral